UACGUAGGGUGCAAGCGUUGUCCGGAAUUAUUGGGCGUAAAGGGCUCGUAGGCGGUCCGUCACGUCGGGAGUGAAAUCCUGGGGCUUAACCCCAGAACUGCUUCCGAUACGGGCAGACUAGAGGUAGGUAGGGGAGAAUGGAAUUCCUGGUGUAGCGGUGGAAUGCGCAGAUAUCAGGAGGAACACCAGUGGCGAAGGCGGUUCUCUGGGCCUUACCUGACGCUGAGGCACGAAAGCGUGGGGAGCAAACAGG
This 253-nucleotide ribosomal RNA is filed under the name uncultured bacterium. Its description in RNAcentral is "partial 16S ribosomal RNA". It matches the Rfam family "Bacterial small subunit ribosomal RNA", at positions 524 to 776 of the family's 1533-position model. The record is from RNAcentral.